Non-coding RNA from Coturnix japonica (Japanese quail), 7047 nucleotides. The record is from RefSeq and is a predicted model, not a curated record. Lineage: Eukaryota; Metazoa; Chordata; Aves; Galliformes; Phasianidae.
GUGGAACUAUUAUAGCACUCAGAGCUUCCGUUUUCAAGUUGUGAAGAAUUUCAGAUUGGAGGAAAAUCUCUCUCAAGUUCUUUGAAGCUGUGGUAUUGGAGCCAGGAAGUCAUGGAAAGUGCGGGCACUCCACGUGCGUUGUCUGGGAUAAUGGUUUUCCAUCUGGACAUUCCUCUUCUCGGCAGUAUCAGCUCCUGCAGCCACAUGACCAGCAGUCAUCCAGUCAGACACGGAGCCUGGGCUUGUGACGCUUCUUUUCAGGUUUUUGUCCUGAAAAUAGUUGGACGCAAGUGUGCAGAUGGUCUGCUGGGCCCAAUUUCUACCCCCCACCCCAGAGAGGAAAACCUGCAGCUGUGCUGAAAGAGCCUGUGCUUCUAAUGGUGGACCUUCAGCCUUCCCAGCAAACAAAAGCUGCAGUGUGGUGGAGACUUGGAGUUUCCCCAGAGAGCUCUGCCCUGGCUGAAUGCAAUGAGCCUGAGCAGACACUGCUGACGACUUGGUGCACUGGAGUGGCAGCAGGUGCCAAGCUUGGCCCAGGGCAUUUCUAAUCCUGGCAAAGACAGCUCCCUGCUACUUUUAGCUGAGCAAGAGCAUCACAUGGAAAUGGUAAAAAACACAGCUAAAUGCCAAUGUGGUACCGGAGGAACAAGCAAAGCAGAGGAAAAAGUGGGAGGCAAGUUUACAAGGCCAAGAGCUUGAAGUUUACUCGUAGCAUCUUCUGGUGGGGUCUCUUUUGCAGCGGCACAUUCCAGCCAGGGCAAGAAUUGUCACACGCCAGAGAGCUGGUCCCAUUUCUGAGUGUGCUGUGUUAUUAAAGCACCUUCACUUCUCCCCACAGCCCAUCUAAUAUAUCUCCUGACCAAAAAAAAGUGAUGGAGCAAUGAAAGGGCGGCCAUGCAGAUGUUACAAGAUAUGAACCUGUCCCUGGUGUUGUGGCAGGGGAAUUGUACAUGUGAGCAGCAUGGCUUGACUUUCUGAGCAGUCUGCACAGAGCACCUUUCAGGCAGUGGAAGCUUCGGCUGCUGCAUACCUUGGUUUGAAUAACAUGCAGCUUUGUGGAUAGCUGCAGUGGAAUUAAAGGGCAAGAACUGCCUACUCAACAUGUGCAUCAGCCCAGGGUGCUGCCAUAGCGAAGGCAGAGUGUUUCUGCUGCUUUUGAAAUCUGGCAAGCCUAUAAAAAUAAUUUAGUGUCUGGAAGACAUUUUCCACCAGACUUUUUCCUUUAGAGCUAGCAAAAAAAAAAAAAAAAAAAAAAAAAAGUAGUCUAAAUUAGCGUUCGGCAAGGUCUUUAUAAAGGAAGAAAGCUAGUCAGAUGGAGCAUAUAUAACUAUGGAAAGCACAGACUCUGUAAGGAAUGCUUUUGUCACUGGCUGUCUCUUAUUUUUCUGCAGAGCAUUAGUGAUGGUUAAAUUCAAAGUGAGAAGAUGCAAUGACUGUCAGCUCAGCCUGCCUGGGAGAUGUGGGGAAGGGUGCUCUCCAUCCUACAUUUGUCCAUUGGCCACUAUAGACCCAAAACUGAGAAACAAGUAUUGAAACCAAAUAAGAACUAAGAAAGACCCCCCCACCCUCAGGGAGUUUCUGCAGAGGAAAAAAAAAAAAAGAAAGAAAGAAAAAAAAAAAAGAAAAGAAAAAAGUAAGGUACCAGAGCUGUAGAACUGGAAAAGAAAUCUGUGAAGCAUAAGGCAGGCGUAGAAACUGGCUUUGGUUUUCUCUACAUCCACACACUGCUGCACCAAGAGGACAGCAAGCAUUAGCAGAGCAGAGAAAAUGUGUGUUUCUUUUCUGGUCUUUCCUGUUCUGUACAGAUAAUAUCACAGGCUUCAGAGGCUCAGACAUCCAUCACCUUACCUGCACGCUAUGCAGACGGCAGAGAGCAAAGCAAGUGCAAAGAAGACAGUCCCUGUUAAAAUUGCCAGCAUCAUUAUGCUUUCCAUCCUCUCCUGCCUCACAGCAUCCACAGUGUCAGGUUCUGUGAUGUUCUUGUAUUCAAAGAGCAUUGCAAAGCCUCUGCCCCGAUUGGUGGUGGUAAUGAGUUCCAUGAUAACCUCAACCAUUUCCAGAGAAGAACCAAAGACCAUGGUCUUGUUUAAAGGUGAAUUUGGUCCACAGAAACGAGAGGAAAAUGUGAUGAGGUCUGAAACGUACAGCACGUCGUGGGGACAGACAUCCACUGCCGGCUGUUGGCUGGAGAUUUCCACUGGCAGUAUUGUUGUGGGAAGCGUCCAGCUCUGUUCCAGACUUUCAUCUCUCUCACUAGCAGGGGAAUGAACUGCGGGUUUCUCAUUGAAGGCAUCUGGACCGUGGCUUGAAGUUUCGAGUGAAAAAGAAACCAUGCACAGCUGCCCAGGUUUUCUGUCUGAUCAUUGGUGCUGCGCAGCAAGUAACGCCAAGAUGGCUCAACAGCAUGUUACAGUUAUUUUUCUCCUGGAGAUACCAAGAUGGCAGUUGGAGGUAUUCACACCCCACCUCUCCUACCAGGAGACUCUGCUAAUGUCUAAAAGCAGCUGUCAGCUCAGAGGCUCUCACGCUGAAUGGCCAGACGCUUCUGAUGUUCCACACGAUGGAAGCCUAUUGUACAAACAUAUGGAGAAGGAAACAGCCCAGAUGUGAAAGCUAAAACCUGCUAAUAUUUGGGAUCAUCACCAGCAAGCUGAAACUCUGUGGGAGCCAGGCCAUUUCUUCACUCAGUGCAGGAGCAAGACUAUUUGAAGUGAAGUAUAACACCAUUUGCUGCCAAGAGCUGUAUGAGGAAUUAUGUUCUUACAUCAAGCCCAAGGACUUUCUCUUGACUGCUGGAUGAUCGUUCUGUGUACCAGCGCAGGACUCUGCAGUGCCUCAUCCCCACCCCAUCCUCCUCCUGCCAUGGAUUUCUACAAGAGGAUUCGAUUUACAUUUAGUAUUCCUCAUACUCAAGGAAUGAUCUAAAGCAUCUUCAGACACGGUUGAUACGGUCCCAUGUCUCGCCAUCAGGCCGGAUCUUGAUUACUUAAUAUUGAUAGACCUGAUAUCUAAACUGACCCAGUAAUAAUAACCGUGAUGAAAGGGCAGAGCUGCUGCACCAGACAUGCCAUUGCUGUAGCUCUGCUGCUGCUGAGUAGCAGCUCUGGUACCAACCACACCACAGUUCUUCAAGAAGGGAAGUAGGAAGAACAUUCCACCACCAUUCCUGGUCUGUACUCUGAGAAGCAAAUGAAGGAGAAUAAUUGUUUGCUGGUUACUACAGGAAAGAUUGUUUGCUGGGUCUUUUUAAACCAGUACAACAGGCUUGUUUGCUUCAAGCUACUGAGAUAUUAAAGAAACAAAAAUGAUUUCAGCAUUUUCAUCUCAGGGAUUGCCAGCGUCUCUGGAGGUGCAGCGCUCUUUCACCUCCUUCAGCACAAACUUUACCCAUCCCUCCAGAAGUCCUGUGCCACUGGCUUCCUUCUCUUACCUCGACAGCUUCUCCCAUCGCCAGCCCUGGCAAACAAGAGAACCGCGGAUCAGCCACGCAAAGAGAGAACCCCACGUGCUGCGCCGGACUCCAGGCCAGCCUCAUCCAUCUUCUCUGCUCUCAGCUUCUUCAGCGCUUCAGUAAUUAGAAUUAUCAGGACUGAAACACUGCGGACAUUAUUGCUGCUUAGCGUGAAGUUAACAAGAGAGCCAGAUUUACAACGUUCUGGCCAGACAGAGAAUUAAUAAAAGUUCCGAAUGAUUGCCCAGUUCCAGGGCUGCAAACUGCAGGAUCUUAUUUUGCCAGAGACUCUACAUGAACUUUAGCCUCCAGGAGAAAUCCGCCUGCAUUUUUCUCACUGACAUACCAGUCAGACCAGCGGCAGGACACAAAUGAACAUGCAUGAAAAAUUAAGGUUCAAUGACCCAGAUCAAUUAUGUGUUAAGGGCACUGCUCUGGACUCAGUAGGAAAUAUUUGAAACAGGAAAAAAAAGAACUAAAUGGGAUCAUUCAUUGAACUGACCUGGAAAUAAGGCAGAAAUGUGGUAAAUAAGUUCAAUGCAAGCCAGUUUCAUGUAGUGAUGGUAGUGGAUAGAAAAAAAUUAAAGAAAGGGGGGUAGGGGAGAAGGGAAGGAACUACUCAGACUCAAGUAAUGUCCCAGACUUCUGGGUACUGCUAUGACCAGCGCAGUAAUACAAAGCAAUUCUCAUGCCUUCUUUGCACUUGAACCUACAGCUCUUCAGUAUCAAACAAAAGCAAUCAUUUAAAGCAAGAAUAUCUUCUGAGGACGAGGACCAGGUAUUGUGGCUGGAUUUUCAUUUUUAAGCACACAGGCAUUAGGUGGGGAGAAAUGACUCCGCUGCUUCAGGACAUCAGAACACAACUGCUUCCCACACUGCCUGAACUCCCAAGCUGUGCUCACAGUACCUGGCUGCCAAGGUAUGUUGUAAACACAAUAGGAAGCAGCUACAGCAAGUCAUCAAGGUCUAAAGAAAAUAGGAAAGACCAAUCAUUUUUCUUCUCCAAAAGCACAGGGCACUUUUACAAACCAUAAUGAGAUUAAUAGAUAGUGAGCUUCUCGCCAGCAAAGCUUUCAGAUUCUUAUUUGUCUUGACUGAUUUAGAUUCUUGGGACAGAAUCACAGUGCUCUGUAGUGACCUAUAAAGUAAAACCUACCUGGAGCUACAAACCCUGCUCACGUGUUAUGAAAUAACCACUACACCUGGCAGCUGGGAUCAGAACCAGAUGUGUAACACGUCCAAGCAGGAGCAGGACUGCUGCCAUCAGCACUGAGGGAUGGACUUUUCAUCAGAUGUAUCUCUUUUGCCUCCGCUUUUCUUAAGGCAGAGGUUGACCACGAACGUCCUCGAACCUACUGUGUGUCAGCUUUCAUCACUUGAGCGUCUGCGUGCCCUUCCCUCCCCAGUCAGAAGUGCAUAUUUUGCUGCUCCAGUUGCAUAAUUCCCUGAUUCAGCUGCAUGCUUGGUUGGCCUGGCAGGAGCCUGGGACAGUCGUUGAGAUCCUGGAUACAUUGCCAAUUGUGCAGUGUGCUUUGUUGAUGGGGGCCGUAGAAUUUAAUAGCUGAAAUUUCAUACACUUUACUAAUCAGGCCACAUUCUUUGCUAAUUGAGGUGCAUAUUUUAGUAGUUGAUUUUUUUGUUGCUGUUGUUUAAUCCUUCACUGAUCUUGGGAAGGAUCCUGCUCCCUCUGAAGCGAGCAGGAAUUUUGCCAUGAUCUUCCCUGGGACCAGGACUUUCACCAGGAGGCUGGGAUCACUGCAGAUUCCUUCUCUUGAAAGAAACAAUAGACUUGAUGCUUUUUUAAGCCAGCGAGUGAACAGGCGAAUGCCAGGUGAAAGAUGGCACUGGCAUAGAGACCUCCUCCACGGGGAUUUGAUUAAACAGAUGAUAGUUUAUGGGCAUACAGAGACCUGGAAUUUUGACUAUGUGCUUCUUUCAUCAGGCUUACAUUCCUCUUUCAGGAUAAACAAGCCAUUUCUCCAUGCAUCUUAUUCCAUCUGAUACAGACAUACAGGAGGAAACACCAUAUACCUUAUCUUCAAAUUGUCUCUUAUUUGCUCUAUCUGUCUCUCCAGCUCAGUCUGCCCUCCUCCUGCACACAGUGCCUGUUCCAGGGAGCCCGUUGUGGUUUUCAUACUGCUAACUCCACACAGGCAGACAAUUCAUUUCUCACUUCUGCUAAACUGAACCAGAUUUGAACCAACCAUUUAGAGGAGGAUUUUUUCCUAGCGAGGCAACGCCAUCAGAAUGUAGCCAAAGCAGAUCAAAAUAAUGAAGCCUACACAGCGUAGUGCAGACCUUGACGAGUGAGGAACAAGUACAACUUAAUCAAAACAAUAACAAAAUAGGGAGCAAGAGAUGUGUGCCCGUGUCUACAUGAAUGAAUUUCACUGUCCCAUUUAGGCAGAUAAGCAAUAGGAAAUGCCUAAGUUUUAUUCUGCAGAAGAAAUUGUCCUGCAUUUUUAGAGACUACAAGCAGUGAGCAACUACACGAAUAGCUGACAUACGCUGUGCCUGGGAAAGUAAGGGGGAGGCUGCUCCUGCUGCUUCGUUAGGGAGGCACUUCUGCUAUGGUACCCAUGGUCAGUGCUUAACUGGUUCUGGUAGUGCUGCUGGAAGGCAAAUGGUCCUGGAUUCAGAACCAGAGAUUGACAGGAGCUGGCUGGGAAACACAGGAAAAAGACAAAUGGAACAAAGCUAAUAGGGUUUGCUGAUGCACACAGUGUCACACCGUGGAACUCACACCCGAAGGCACACGACAGCAAAUAUUUGUCCUGUCUCAUGACUGUCCAGGCAAAAUUAGAACGAAGCACAGGAAGGAUGUAACAACUUCAGGCAGGGCGCAGUUAUGCAGUGUAAGUGUGCAGCUGGGUGCGGGAGUUGUUCACCCGCAGCAACAAGCCCAAAAGGAGGGUAAGUUUCCAGAUUACUUAUUGCAGUUCUGAGUUAAAGUAGAGACAAAAGACAAAACCCCACAGCCAUAUAGUUUUAUAGAUUUGUGAAGCUGGUACUCGGUACUUUAGAACUGAGACCAUGGCUUAAGAACUUCUUGGCAUCUAUCUUCACGUGAGUGAGUUAAAACAUCUUAAUUUUGGCACUGAAGUCACUGCUGUGCUGGCAUGUGCUGAGGCAGGGAGGUGCUGUAGCAGGCUGAAUCACACCGUGCUGCUUUGCCCCCGGUAAAGCAAUCCCCCGCAUUUCUUUUGACUUAUUCAUACAUAACUAAAGCGAUACCUUAACAGAAUAUUGUUUUCUUAGAGCGUAGUGGCUCACAUUUCAUAGAUCUAAGAACCUCCACCAGAAGCGUGAAAUCCUCCACCCAGAGCUCGCAGGGUCCCAUGAGAGCAGCAGCUCGGUGCUCUGGCACUUCUCGCAGCACCCAGCUCUUAUCGCCCCGCAGCCGCCCGAUGCUCCCGUUGCUGCUCAGCCCCGCCGCGCUGUUCCCUCGCUGCCGCCCCCGUCCUGCGCAGCGCCCGUCCCUGCCGCUACUCACCUGCUCCCCGUAGCACAGAUGAGGUGCACGAGGCAGGAGAGCAAAGGGAGGGUAACGCGACUCGAGGUGCUUGGCUUGGGCUCCCUGUGCCAACCUACCCCUC